This 115-nucleotide non-coding RNA is filed under the name Clostridium sp. Its description in RNAcentral is "SAM-I sequence". It matches the Rfam family "SAM riboswitch aptamer (S box leader)". From Rfam's summary of the family: The SAM riboswitch is found upstream of a number of genes which code for proteins involved in methionine or cysteine biosynthesis in Gram-positive bacteria. RNAcentral also lists the same sequence under 1 other name. Lineage: Bacteria; Bacillati; Bacillota; Clostridia; Eubacteriales; Clostridiaceae. The record is from RNAcentral.
GUCUUAUCAAGAGUGGUGGAGGGACUGGCCCUAUGAAACCCGGCAACCGAAAUAUUGUUUAUCUCAAUAUUUAUAUGGUGCUAAUUCCAGCAGCAGAGUAGCUGAAAGAUGAGAG